RNAcentral lists this ribosomal RNA (253 nucleotides) under uncultured bacterium. RNAcentral describes it as "partial 16S ribosomal RNA". It matches the Rfam family "Bacterial small subunit ribosomal RNA", at positions 524 to 776 of the family's 1533-position model. The record is from RNAcentral.
UACGGGGGGGGCAAGCGUUGUCCGGAUUUACUGGGUGUAAAGGGCGUGUAGGCGGGAUAGCAAGUCAGAUGUGAAAUUCCGGGGCUUAACCCCGGCGCUGCAUCUGAAACUGUUAUUCUUGAGUGUCGGAGAGGAAAGUGGAAUUCCCAGUGUAGCGGUGAAAUGCGUAGAGAUUGGGAGGAACACCAGUGGCGAAGGCGGCUUUCUGGACGAUAACUGACGCUGAGGCGCGAAAGCGUGGGGAGCAAACAGG